CGGGGCGUGGCUCAGUUGGCUAGAGCGCUCGGUUCGGGACCGUGAGGUCGCUGGUUCAAAUCCAGUCGCCCCGA
Molecule: transfer RNA, 74 nt
Filed under: Endomicrobium sp.
Lineage: Bacteria; Pseudomonadati; Elusimicrobiota; Endomicrobiia; Endomicrobiales; Endomicrobiaceae
Also listed under: 2 other names
Description: tRNA-Pro
Rfam family: tRNA
About the family: Transfer RNA (tRNA) molecules are approximately 80 nucleotides in length. Their secondary structure includes four short double-helical elements and three loops (D, anti-codon, and T loops).
Source: RNAcentral